GGAAUAAACAAGGAACAGAGGACUAGAAAAAGCUUCUUGAACCAGAAUCUGCCCCUCUCAACUACACGUACACACAAUGUGUUACAAACUUUUUCUAAACUGACAUCCUCCACCUUCAGAUAACUGAGGAUGACAAGCCUCCCCCCAAGAGCUGGAGGACAGACAAGAAUGCAUUUAUGUGAAUUUGUACACAGGAAAGAAAGGGAAAGAGGACAACAACUGAUCCCAGGAAAGAGUAUGGAGCCACAAAUGAGAACCCAAUCAGCAGGGUCUGCAUUACUGUCUAAGGAGAUUUUUAAA
Molecule: long non-coding RNA, 300 nt
Organism: Neopsephotus bourkii (Bourke's parrot)
Lineage: Eukaryota; Metazoa; Chordata; Aves; Psittaciformes; Psittacidae
Exons: 2
Source: RefSeq, a predicted model, not a curated record